CCUACGGGAGGCAGCAGUGGGGAAUAUUGCACAAUGGGGGAAACCCUGAUGCAGCCAUGCCGCGUGUGUGAAGAAGGCCUUCGGGUUGUAAAGCACUUUCAGUAGGGAGGAAAGGGUGAGUCUUAAUACGGCUCAUCUGUGACGUUACCUACAGAAGAAGGACCGGUUAACUCCGUGCCAGCAGCCGCGGUAAU
This 194-nucleotide ribosomal RNA is filed under the name Shewanella sp. DH-3. RNAcentral describes it as "partial 16S ribosomal RNA". It matches the Rfam family "Bacterial small subunit ribosomal RNA", at positions 338 to 524 of the family's 1533-position model. Lineage: Bacteria; Pseudomonadati; Pseudomonadota; Gammaproteobacteria; Alteromonadales; Shewanellaceae. The record is from RNAcentral.